AUGGACGGACCAUUAGGGAUUCUGCGUCGAUAGAAACAAGUUUGCGGUGUAUUUGUUCGUUAGAUUAACCCUAACGAUUGUGAGUCGUAGUGAUUUCCUCCUUCUGGAUAGGUUAACAAAGGAUUUUGCCCGGUUGCCGCCCUGAGGGGCUGAUCCCAACUUACCGACGGAGAUCCUAACCGGAAAACAAGAACAUUUCAGGAUUGAAAGACGUGGCAGCGUGGUGGGAUGUCGUGAGACGAGUAAAGAAUAUUUUAUCGAAUCAUAGAAACAGAUAUACGACAGAUCAAAAAUUUGACACCACUUUAUACCAUCUACGUCUUGUUAUCCGGUCUAUGAUUCUUUCUUUUAGUCUUGUAAAAACGUGGCAUAACAAAAAUGAAAAGAAAAUCUCAGGAAUAUGGAAAUAAUCGAGUUAACCUCAAAAUAAACAUUAAAAUGCCGGAACGCGAGAAAUUGCCGACGGAUGGUAAGGUUCCGGCGGGAACACUAGAAGUUUGGAAAUCUUUCGAAUUUUAAAAAACUUGCUCGACACUGCCAAGAAUUUGUGCAAGAAGUGAAAGUUAGAAAAGUACGAUAACAAGAUUAGAAAAAAGAACAAGCUGCCUGCAACUAAGUUCGUUUACGUAGGAAAGCGACGAGAAGGGAUGAUGCGCAACGAUCGGAAACGCGUCUCUCAGAUUUCAAAUUCACCAUUACCCAUCCGUCUAUAACGUCUCGUCACGCGGACGUUGAAAGUGAAAGAUGUGACGCCCGAUCAGACCAAAGGAUUCGCUUUUCAUACCGGAGGAUGUUGAAGCUCGUGAAAGAUUCACGGCACGUCCAAGAUUCUCUCGAUGCGUCACAUUAAGCGAGUUAUAAGGAUAUAUCCGAAGCGGCGCUAUCAAUAUCACGACGGCAGGAAGUCAGGAGAAAUCACUGUUACGCCUGAUCACUUCCGCUUUGACGAUAAAUCAGAAAACGCGUAAUUUUCAUCUUCCAUUGAAUAAUACAAAUGAAAUGGAGAGACAGAUUUGUUAUGCAGAGAAGCAAUAUUUCAUCUAGAAAUUGCGAACGUAGCGGAAUUUCUAUAUUUAAUCGAUGAUCAAUAAAAAAUUAGGACAUGCAACUUUUUAAUUUCAAGCUUCGAAAGAUCAUUAGACAUUCUCUGUUAAUCUUACUAAAUGAAAUUGGCAAAUAGAAUUACCGCGAGACGAAGCAAAAUUUUACCUGGCGUGUUACAAAUUCCAAACUUUGGGAGAUCAUUGGACUCUAGGAUCACUGUCUUUGUCUUUAUUCUUCCUAAACAGACGACAAAUAGAAUUGCCGCGGAGCAAAAUUGUAUUCAAAACCUCAAACUAGAAUCUCAAAUUUUAGAAAUAUCAUUCUCAAUAAUAGAUCUUACAAAAUAGAUUAAUACGAUUGAUCUCCAAAUAUUCGUACAAUAACGAUAUUUAUCUAUGCUUGAAUAGGAAACAAUUUCUUUUACCGUGACUCCUUUAUCGAUCUUCCUUUAUUAAUUUAUUAAUAUAAAAUUAAUUCCAAUUUUGCUCGUCUAAAGAUUAAGUAAUAAAGCCGGAGCGGUUGAGGAUUCGUUAAGGGUACUAAAUCAGACGUUCGAUAAUAGAAUUGCAGUUGAUGGUGAUUGCUACACUCUCAGCCGUCAGAAAUUACCUUCUUCAAUUAACCAAAUAAGUUCGGGACGGAAACGCAUGGCUCUGCAGAGACAAAAUCUUGAUUAAGAGAUGCAUCGGACAGGCCGAUGCCAUCCGGCUUGAUGAAUAAAUCGCUAUAGACAGAUCUCAUUAACUGCGUAUCCACUUUCGCGUCUGACCACAACCGUCACGGUUCGCUGUUACUGUUGUGCUCCACUACUUAAGCCAAACGAAACAGUAUUUUUGACUCUGGUCAUAGUAACUUAGAUAUGAGGAGUACUGUAAGAUCGAUCAAGUAAUGCAAUUGAUAGUUGAUUCACGUAUGAGAACAGUAAAGUCCCAGAAAUCUUGGUCAGGAUCGUAUCUCGGCUGUAAUUGUGCUUCAGUUCCUAGCUUCCGUCUCUGUGAGAUUUUUUAUUAUUGGAAUUUUCUUUUUUAUUAUCGUUUCAUUCAAUUAUCGAGUUUUCCUUCUAUCGUUUUUGUGAGUUCUUUUUUGUUAAAGCUUGUGCGCCCUGGUUCUUUCCUAUUACUACAAGCGUCUUCUUAAAGUUCCUGUACUUUCUUAUCGUUGGAAUUUCUUUCCAGUAUCUUGCACUGCCAUUUUUCAUCGCAGCAAUUCUCUUUUAUCUUUCCUUUUGACUUUCAAGUUCUCUUUUACACCGAGUGGAAUCCGUUUCUUGUUCUCCCCAAACUGCUUUUUUUCACUGCUGGUGUCUUCUUCUUGAUCGUUUCUUGAUACCCUUGCACGUUUCCUUUUAAAUUAUUACAAUCUCCCUUGAUGCUCUUUACUAGUUUUUCUUUAUUAGAAUCUCUUUUUUGAUGUCCUUACCACCUUAUCCGUUUCUCAAAUAUUCUGACAUUUAGAGAAUAUAGAAUAAAUAAUAACGCUUAACAAUUUCUAAUUGUAAAUAGCUACUACGGAAGCGCCAUAUCAAAAAUCCUCACUUUAACUCAAGAUAACUUCCUCAGAAUACCUCUCGACCAAUUAAUUCUCCUUCCAAAUACUUUGACCUGUCCUCGCAGCAAGAAAUAAGGAAGAAAACUUCACUCUGUAAUUGGAACAAAAAUAAAAGAUCCCAUGCCACCCACAUAUAUUCUCAUUAACUAAAUUCCUCUAGCACGUCCUUGACGGUUCUCCAACUAAAUACCAGUCCCUGUAUUCCGUACUCAGACCAUUCUUAACACCAAUUACCCAGCUUAAUCUGAACCAUCAGCGCGAUAACGCGCAGGCCAGCGUCGAAGGAGUUCCGUGGAAAACGGCGAAUACCGUCGUGCACCGGUGUGUUUGCAACAGUCGACGUCGUUCUCCGUAGAUGAUACCCAGCAGGACAGUUUUUAAUCACCAUAUUACAAUUGCUCCAAUUUCAAGAAGACCAACGGAUCUCCAUAUUCCACCAAGCCUUACAAGUUUCAAGCGAUAGAAAAUGAUUCCACCAUGGAGUUAAUCGAGCUGGCUAGAUCGUUCCACUUUGUUCAAUUGAAUGUAGACCCUCAGGAGCUGGUAAGAGCAACGGUUGUUGGUCCAGCAGAGCAACACCAGCCUGUUCACCCUCUGGUAGCUUCUAUUCUGUGCUACAUCCCAUUGAUGACACCAUGGACAGGGGUGGCAGAAUGUCGCGUGGCGACACGUUUCACUGUUCUGAGUCACAUGUCAUUCCGUAUGAAUUACAACUCCAUUAACGUUCCAGACAACCUGCGAGCAUACAUAAUGCUGGCGAAUUGAGCGGAUCAGCUCCUCAGCCAAGAUGUUGAUUUAUGGGGAACGAUGGAGGUGGCCUGGUCCUUGGACGAACAGAGCCAAUCAUAAAGUGAUUGAAUUUUUAAUCUCUUACUUGGAAAUCUUCUUUUUUAUUCCAUUUUAAGGUAACUUGUCUUUAAGAGAAGCGCAGAUCCCUUUUUUUCUUUUUGUUUUUAGCUCUAUUCAUUUUUCAUCUUUUCCUCUUCUUCGUCAUGUUUCUCCUUCUUUUAAAUUUUAAUGAAAUCCAUCCAUGCGCUGUUUCACGGUUAAAUUUCUAACGAACAGCGUAAAAAAUUCUGCCAAUUCCUCUGUUCAUCUUCUCCUCUCGCUUCUCCCACAGUUUGAACGACAGAUAAUGUUUGUUGCUCUACGUUAAAUUGUUUCAGUUUCACGCAAUACAAUAUAAUACAAUUUUCUUGUCUUUUUCUUCUGGUGUCGUGCGACACUGUUAAUUCACAAUUAAUCAAAAGUCGCUCAACACAAAGAACGAAGAAAAUAUCUGGAAGAUAAUUUGACGACUGUACGUAAUCGCAGGUGAAUAUUGGUAAAAUAUCUUACAAUAAAAUAAACGAGAAUCUGUGAUGUAAAUCGAUAACGUUCCCAGAUGCCUUAAGGGUGGACCUUAGGCUAAGGAAUUAGGGAAGAUUCGAACUGACUACCCUACGUCAGGGAAAACCUCUCUAGAAAUGGCGGUCGGCCCGUGAUGCCGCAAACUAAUAGAAAAUUGAUAGUAACUUCGUGCUUAAUUAUCAUGCGUGCGUAGUACAUUCACGUUUACGGUUUCCAGAUGAGCUAAGCAGAAUGUUAGCUGGUUGCAGCUAGACAAUUAUAAUUCCUUGUACCAUUGAUUUCUCAUAUUCUCUGUGUAAUUAAUAGAAAUGCGAAAAUAACGUAUUAUUCUUCAAUAACGUAAUUUUAUAAAGCGAUGAAAUUAUAUAGAAAAGUAUGGAGAUUAGAAAAAGUUAGAACAAAAUUAGAAAUUUCAUUAGUGGAAAAAUUCAUUGCUUUGAUAUACCGUUACGAUUGAAAAAUAGUACAGUGACAAAAUUAGAAAUUCUAUUUCCACGAUAAAUAGAUUACACUGUCUUCGUUGUUAAUGAUAGAAUAAUUAAUUUUUCGUUAUUGUUAUAAGCGAACUAAUAGGAUAGAAAUUAUAGGAUUAUCAAAUUGGGAAUUCUACUUUCAUAAUGGAUAGAUGAACAUAUUCUAAGCUGCUUAUUAAUAAUGGAAUAAUACAUGUUUUUAGUUAUUAAUACUAUCGUUAGAGGAUCAAUUAUUAAUAUUAUAGUUAGAGGACUCGUGACAUUUACGUCACAAACAACUGUCGCGGAUGAUAUCGUAAUCCGAAACACCUAAGCUCGUUUGUUUCCAAUAGAUUUUUGCACCGUUGCCAUCGACGAGAUUACAUUUUCCCUGAUAAUGCAAUUUCUGAACGUUUUCAGAAUAUGUUUCUGGGACAUUGGUGAUUAGUGUUAGCAGCAAUAAAGUUCCUAGCUAACUGAAUUUACCGGCUGGCAAUAAGUGUCAAAAGUGAACAGCCUGUUUCGCAAUUAGGCAAAAUACAGAUUUUAUGACAUUAAACUUGUUGGCGCAACUGCAAUUUUCCCUCUUAAAAUAUUACACUAGCCAUGGUACAUCGUGGCUUUCAGAAUUACACAUCAAUCAAAUACAGAACAGACGAUAAUAAGAGGAACAUUUAUUAAAUUAAUAAAUUAUUCCUUGAUAGUGGAACAUUGAAA
Bombus terrestris (buff-tailed bumblebee) is the source of this 5111-nucleotide long non-coding RNA. RefSeq lists it as uncharacterized. The record is from RefSeq and is a predicted model, not a curated record. Lineage: Eukaryota; Metazoa; Arthropoda; Insecta; Hymenoptera; Apidae. The transcript has 6 exons.